This is a long non-coding RNA of Apodemus sylvaticus (European woodmouse), 451 nucleotides long. RefSeq lists it as uncharacterized. The record is from RefSeq and is a predicted model, not a curated record. The transcript has 3 exons. Lineage: Eukaryota; Metazoa; Chordata; Mammalia; Rodentia; Muridae.
CCAUGUGAUGCAGACAGAGACUCCAUCGCUCUUGGCGACAGGGAAUAGCUGGAACAACUAGACUUGAAAGCUAUACAGUAGAAUCACUCCUUUAUUGUAUUAUGGUCUCUUACUGAACGUGGAACUUACUGAUUGAGCUAGGCUGACUGGCCAAACCUUAGGGAUUCUCCUGUCUCUGUCGCUCCAGUUCUGGGAUUAUAGAAUCUCUGGCAUGCAAUAGAUGUUCAAUAAAUGGGAGCCGAGCUCGCUGCUGUUAUCGGCGAUGGUGAUGGUGUGGUUAGUGGUUCAUUCAUCAGUCUCAGUGCAUUGCAGAUACGGAUCAACAGAAGCCCUCCAUCAUCCUAUUGUGUCCACGUGUGCAGAGAGGAGCAAUGAGCAGUUGGAGCUGUGGAGGAAGUCAUUAGACAGUAUUAAAUGGGUGGGAACGGGGGUGCAAAUCCCAGGAGGAGAG